This 67-nucleotide transfer RNA is filed under the name Maoricicada mangu. RNAcentral's name for it is "tRNA-Asn". Lineage: Eukaryota; Metazoa; Arthropoda; Insecta; Hemiptera; Cicadidae. The record is from RNAcentral.
UUAAAUGAAGCCAAGUUAGAGGCAUUUUAUUGUUAAUAAAAUAAUUGAAUUUUUUUUUCCAUUUAAA